AUUGAACGCUGGCGGCAGGCCUAACACAUGCAAGUCGAGCGGAUGAAGGGAGCUUGCUCCUGGAUUCAGCGGCGGACGGGUGAGUAAUGCCUAGGAAUCUGCCUGGUAGUGGGGGAUAACGUCCGGAAACGGGCGCUAAUACCGCAUACGUCCUGAGGGAGAAAGUGGGGGAUCUUCGGACCUCACGCUAUCAGAUGAGCCUAGGUCGGAUUAGCUAGUUGGUGGGGUAAAGGCCUACCAAGGCGACGAUCAGUAACGGGUCUGAGAGGAUGAUCAGUCACACUGGAACUGAGACACGGUCCAGACUCCGACGGGAGGCAGCAGUGGGGAAUAUUGAGGAAGGGGCGAAAGCCUGACCGAGCCAUGCCGGGUGAGUGAGGAAGGUCUUCGGAUCGUAAACUUUUUUAAGUUGGGAGGAAGGAAUGUAAAUUAAUCCCUGGCUGUUUUGACGGUCCCAAAGAAGAAAGCCCCGGCUACCUUCGUG
This 484-nucleotide ribosomal RNA is filed under the name uncultured bacterium. RNAcentral's name for it is "partial 16S ribosomal RNA". It matches the Rfam family "Bacterial small subunit ribosomal RNA", at positions 30 to 507 of the family's 1533-position model. The record is from RNAcentral.